This 883-nucleotide ribosomal RNA is filed under the name uncultured archaeon. RNAcentral describes it as "bacterial SSU rRNA". It matches the Rfam family "Archaeal small subunit ribosomal RNA", at positions 1 to 892 of the family's 1478-position model. The record is from RNAcentral.
UUCCGGUUGAUCCUGCCGGAGGCUACUGCUAUCGGAAUUCGAUUAAGCCAUGCGAGUCGAGAGGGUUCGGCCCUCGGCUGACUGCUCAGUAACACGUGGAUAACUUGCCCUCAGGUAGGGGAUAAUCUCGGGAAACUGAGGAUAAUACCCUAUAGGCAUCCUUCGCUGGAAUGCUUGGAUGUUCAAAGGCGACGCCUGAGGAUGGGUCUGCGGCCUAUCAGGUAGUAGUGGGUGUAACGGACCCACUAGCCCACGACGGGUACGGGCCUUGAAAGAGGUAGCCCGGAGAUGGACUCUGAGACACGAGUCCAGGCCCUACGGGGUGCAGCAGGCGCGAAAACUUCGCAAUGCGGGAAACCGUGACGAGGGAAUCCCGAGUGCUCAUACAAUGUAUGGGCUUUUCUGAUGUGUAAAAAGUAUUAGGAAUAAGGGCUGGGUAAGACCGGUGCCAGCCGCCGCGGUAAUACCGGCAGCUCUAGUGGUAGCCACUUUUAUUGGGCCUAAAGCGUCCGUAGCCGGUCAGGUAAAUCCUUGGGUAAAUCGUACAGCUUAACUGUGCGGCUUCCGUGGAGACUGCUUGACUUGGGACCGGGAGAGGUUGGAGGUACUCCUGGGGUAGGGGUGAAAUCCUGUAAUCCUAGGUGGACCACCGGUGGCGAAGGCGUCCAACCAGAACGGCUCUGACGGUGAGGGACGAAGGCUAGGGGCGCAAACCGGAUUAGAUACCCGGGUAGUCCUAGCUGUAAACGCUGCAGACUUGGUGUUGGAGAUCCUGCGAGGGUGUCCAGUGCCGGAGAGAAGUUGUUAAGUUUGCCGCCUGGGAAGUAUGGGCCGCAAGGCUGAAACUUAAAGGAAUUGGCGGGGGAGCACCGCAACGGGAAGG